UUUGGGCCAAACUGUUCCUUGCUGCCUUUUGGAAGACAGAUUUCCAAAAAUCGACAGCCGGCGCCUGGAGUUUCCUAUUGAUAUCAGGUGUCAUUAAAACAUACAACCUGCCAAUGGCGUACAAUCUUGACCUUGGACAAGUCACACUCUCUCAGCCUCACAAGGGAAGGCAAUGGCAAACCACUUGUGAACAAACCCAGAAAACCCCGGGAGUUGGAAAUGACUUGAAGGCACACGACACACACAAACGUGAAAAGGCUUUCUCCUUGGAGGAAGAGGACAAAAGGAAAAGGAGAGACUUUCCCUUGGUGAGGCUGGCAUCGCAGGGCCGCCACUGUGAGUGUUUCUCUGGCAGUGUCUUAGCUGGUUGUUGUGCGCAGUGAUCGAGGAAGCAAUCAGCAAGAAUACUGCCCCAGAAGUGCUGCACGCUCCCAGGCUGGCAGAAGAAGCCUUCCCUCUGUGGAAAUAAAGCACCCAGAAACGGGGUGCAAGCUGCGUUCCUCUUCUUUGGCGCCCGCCAUGGACAAAUAGGACUUCGUAAGGUACGGGAAAUGGUGCCAUGGAGGUCCUGCGCCUCUGGGAAGGGUUGCCCCUGCCUUCUUCUGAGACUGAGAGUGUGCGACUUGCCCAAGACCAUAAGGUACAGAAAAAGGCGUUUGGAAAUGUAUUGACCCUCGACGUUUGUGGAUUUGAUCAUUCAAGAUUUGAUUAAUAUGUUCUCUCUAAGGAUCUCUAGGUCCUUCAGCGGAGUCACACUGGAAGACCUAGAGAUACCCAGAGGAAACACUUCUCUAGGCAUUCGUAGGUCCUCCAGCAUGAGUCUAUGGUCAACAUUUGGUGGAUGGAGACCAUAGAGGACCUAGAAAGUCCCAGAUAAAACACUUCCCUAGGCAUUCGUAGGCCCUCCAGCAUGAGUCUAUGGUCAACGUCUGGUGGGGCUUUUUGGCAGCCCUUCCCCGACUUACUUGGGUGCAUUUGAAACACAUGCAAACAACAAAGAUGCAACCCGACUUCUACCAGGAUUAUUUUCUCCAUCUGAAUAAAUACAGUGGUCCAUCCACAUUCACUGGGGUUAGGAUGAAGGACCCCUGUGAAUGUGGCAAAAACACAAAUAAAAACGACAACACUAUUCUUUUCGUCUAAAAGAAGGCCGCUCUAGGAACCUCCAGGUCCUCCGGUGCAAUUCUGUGGUCA
Long non-coding RNA from Sceloporus undulatus (fence lizard), 1194 nucleotides. RefSeq lists it as uncharacterized. The record is from RefSeq and is a predicted model, not a curated record. NCBI's taxonomy places the organism in Eukaryota, Metazoa, Chordata, Lepidosauria, Squamata, Phrynosomatidae. The transcript is spliced from 3 exons.